This 253-nucleotide ribosomal RNA is filed under the name uncultured bacterium. RNAcentral describes it as "partial 16S ribosomal RNA". It matches the Rfam family "Bacterial small subunit ribosomal RNA", at positions 524 to 776 of the family's 1533-position model. The record is from RNAcentral.
UACGGAGGGUGCAAGCGUUAUCCGGAUUUACUGGGUUUAAAGGGUGCGUAGGUGGGUCGGUCAGCGUGCGGUGAAAGCUCGGGGCUCAACCCCGAGUCGGCCGUGCGAACUGCUGGGCUUGAGCACUGUAGAGGCAGGCGGAAUUCCGGGUGUAGCGGUGGAAUGCGUAGAGAUCCGGAAGAACACCGGUGGCGAAGGCGGCCUGCUGGGCAGUGGCUGACACUGAGGCACGAAAGCGUGGGGAGCAAACAGG